This is a long non-coding RNA of Cynara cardunculus var. scolymus (artichoke), 541 nucleotides long. RefSeq lists it as uncharacterized. The transcript has 3 exons. The record is from RefSeq and is a predicted model, not a curated record. NCBI's taxonomy places the organism in Eukaryota, Viridiplantae, Streptophyta, Magnoliopsida, Asterales, Asteraceae.
GCUGUUAACAGAGUCGGAAGCUCUGCAACUUCACGUCUUCACCCUUGAACUUCGCCGUCUUUCGUUCUCAGGCGGCGUUAGGGUUUUACGGUUGCAAUUUCGACGUCAAAAAUUCAAGUCGAGAUCUGAGCUCGUUAAACGCCUAAUGCUGCUAUGAGAUCCAUGUUAGAGAUGUAAUGUGAGAAGAAGCACAUAAAAAAGCCUGAUAUCAAAGCGUCUUUGGCCUAGCAGUAUCCGAGCAUUUGGCUUCCCAGAAGGUCAGGGGUUCAAACUUCACCAAAGGUUAGGAGGGUUAGUGAGUUUAUAUGUUGCAUUUGUCGUAUAUAAUAUUAUAUACUUCCUAAAAUAGCCUGAUGACAAUGCUUAUUUUUCUUCUCAUGCAUCUCAAGUGAUUUUGAAAAUCAACCAACGGCCCUACUUCUUGAAUCUUGUUCAUUCUUAUAUGCAGCAAACAGUUUCUUGUUUGCAACUCUUUCUAUUUAUUUUGUUAAUGCUUACUCAUAUCUAGCUUUUCAAAUCUUAGCUUAUCUGUUUUUUUCAC